CGGCCUAACCAUGCAAGUCGGACGGUAGCACAGAGGAGCUUGCUCCUUCGGGUCGACGAGUGGCGGACGGGUGAGUAAUGUCUGGGAAACUGUCCUGAUGGAGGGGGAUAACUACUGGAAACGGUAGCUAAUACCGCAUAACUGUCGCAAGACCAAAGAGGGGGACCUUCGGGCCUCUUGCCAUCAGAUGUGCCCAGAUGGGAUUAGCUAGUAGGUGGGGUAACGGCUCACCUAGGCGACGAUCCCUAGCUGGUCUGAGAGGAUGACCAGCCACACUGGAACUGAGACACGGUCCAGACUCCUACGGGAAGGCAGCAGUGGGGAAUAUUGCACAAUGGGCGCAAGCCUGAUGCAGCCAUGCCGCGUGUAUGAAGAAGGCCUUCGGGUUGUAAAGUACUUUCAGCGGGGAGGAAGGUGUUGUGGUUAAUAACCGCAGCAAUUGACGUUACCCGCAGAAGAAGCACCGGCUAACUCCGUGCCAGCAGCCGCGGUAAUACGGAGGGGUGCAAGCGUUAAUCGGAAUUACUGGGCGUAAAGCGCACGCAGGCGGUCUGUCAGUCGGAAUGUGAAAUCCC
This 575-nucleotide ribosomal RNA is filed under the name Pantoea agglomerans. Its description in RNAcentral is "bacterial SSU rRNA". It matches the Rfam family "Bacterial small subunit ribosomal RNA", at positions 44 to 603 of the family's 1533-position model. Lineage: Bacteria; Pseudomonadati; Pseudomonadota; Gammaproteobacteria; Enterobacterales; Erwiniaceae. The record is from RNAcentral.